ACCUAGAUACAAUAACCCAGGUCGACGAAGGUAUCAUCAUCAUUAAUGACGCUGCCAUAAGAGUCACUGAUCAAAAAGGCCUCAACCGAACAAUCACGGGGUCUUACCAAUGUCCCUAAAUGGGACAUUAUUCAUCAACCACUACAAGUCUUUGAAACAGAAACCAGCACCAUCCGUCGUGACUCAAGUCAACGUCACGAGCUACAAAAAUUACCGGUCUAUUGCGAUAAAUCAGCGGAAUUUGCGGUUACUGUGAACGGACACCCACAGGCGCAGCGUUAGCAUUCUGGACGUGGUGGUGUGAGAAGUCACGAGGCGCAACGUUGACAGAAAUAGCAGCAGAAGUGCCGCUAUAAAUAUUUGAAUAUAAAAUUGUACUUUAGUUUUAGACAGAGCUCAAAAGGGAUCAGUCGUAUUCUGAUGCACUUAAUAAAGAAGAAUAAUUAUUAUUUGAAAAACCUUAAUAAUUGUUUAAUUUACAUAAAUACAACUUCUGGUGCGUUCACAUUGUAUGUAUGCAUAUGUACACAUUUAUGUAUGAGCAUAGACGUUUUUCAUUUAAGCAGUCCGGCCGCUGGCAUCUUAUGCGAGCAGCGCAGCCGUGACUGAUUAAAUAUUCAAACAGUUAACUUUUAUCUUCGAAAUAAUAAAGAAUAAAUAAAACUCAAUAAAUACUACUCACAGAAUCGAUCAUUUAAGGUUAAUCGGACGGACAUGUGGACCCAAGUUCCACAAAAGAAACUAUCCCUAACUCCGUAGGACAACAAGACGCUCCAGAUUUUGGAAUUUAAUACGUAUUUUUUAUUCUUAAAUUUAAAUCCUACGCAUAGAAAUAAUAAAUAACUAAUAAGAAGUAAUGUUUCAUCGAUGAAAGGAGAUGAAAAAACUGACAUGAAAAUUGCCUAAAAAGGCAAUACUCUUACACAAUCGAAAUUUCUGUCUCUUUAAAAAUCAUUGAGGAUUUAGUGAUUUGUUAUGCUUUGUUUUAGCGAUUCAUACAUAGAUAGUUUUCAUACAAAUUGUGCGGUGUUUCACUGAUGAAAACUUGUGUAUUGAACUGUGGGAGUAUAUAUGACAAUUUUAUAUAGUCUAAAUGGUUGGAAGGAAUGGUUGAACAUAUACAUAUAGGGGUAUAUCUAUCACGUAGUAUUUUGUUCUUGUAAUAUAUAUAUAUAUUUGGGAGCAUUGCAAAAUAUCUGCAUUUGUGAUCAAAUUAAUCAGUAUAAAACGGGACUCUGAAUGAAUGGAAUCUUGUGAUUGAUAAGCUGAAAAUCUAUUUAUUGCCGUUGAGUAUAAAAUAUCACUUUUUGGUCGGAUUGAUGGCGUGGCAACAUCAGUUAACCGUUAACUUGGGCUGUGUCUUAUUGGAAUAUGCAUAUCUUAUCUAAACUUUUUAGCUUUAAUUGUUCCAGUAAUCCCGAAGUGUAUGCUGACGGACAGACGGACAUGUACAGAUAUGAUCGGAAAUCUGAUAUACCGUUUAACAGGUAUUCAGAUAACUAGAAAUAUACAAUGAAAUACUUACAUUCCCUUCUUAAGGAAUUAGUUUCAUCUGCCAGUCGUUGCUUAAAUGAAUCCAAUUUUUUAUUUAGUUCCAUUUCCUUUCCAAUUUGUUUUUUGAUAGCUUCUAUUCCCGCUAUAUUGUGUUUCAUUGCCUCCCUGUGUUUUCUUAAAAUCAAUGUUAAAAAACUUAAAUCCUUUUCAUUUGCUUAGCUUACCUUGCUGCGCUUUGUACUUGAAAUAAAAUUUUAUCUCUCAACUGAAUGGCUAUAAUAACCUCGUUCCAUGCCUGUGUGAGCCGUUUGUGUUCAUUUUGCAAAACCUCUAAAUCUGUAUUGGCAUUUGCUAUGCUCAUAUUUAAAAUAUUAAUCACUUCUUUCAUUGUAGCUUCUUCUUCACAAAUCGACAGUAACUCGUUUUCUCUCUUUUUUAUUUCUAUAUCCAGCCUAUAAAAGAGUAUAUCUGAUUUUCGUUUUUCCUGUGAUAGCUGGUCUUGCAACUGGGCGUCUCUACUAACAAUGCGUUUAGCAUUUUUUACUUCAUCCUCAA
This is a long non-coding RNA of Drosophila simulans, 2049 nucleotides long. RefSeq lists it as uncharacterized. NCBI's taxonomy places the organism in Eukaryota, Metazoa, Arthropoda, Insecta, Diptera, Drosophilidae. The record is from RefSeq and is a predicted model, not a curated record. The transcript has 5 exons.